AAAAAAUCUAGCUAGUCUUUAUUGACGCGGCAGUGCUUCAAACAACACAUUAAUUGCUUUACAUCUAUUAUUUUAUUUUAUCCUUCUAAUAGCAGCAUGACCCAGAGGUUACUCUUUCCUUUUUACAGCUGACUUAAGUUCAGGGAGGCAAAAUAACUUUUCCCAUUCCACACAUCUGGUAUGUAACAAAGUGGAGAUUUGAAUUCAGACUAGAAUGAGGCUUAAACCAUUUUCCUUAACCAUUACUCUGCUUUAUCCACCUGAAACUACUGAUUACCCUUGUGAAAAUAUUUAUUAGCUGAAGUCACUAUAUGAUUUUUCCAUAUUUGGUACAUAUUUUGGUACUAAGGCUUUAAUAUAUGUUUAGUGAGUGAAUAAAUAAUUGACAAAAGGCUGAAAAAAAACUAGGAUACUUUAAACUUACUGAAUAUACUCUGUUCCUGAAUGUUUUUGCUUUGAUUUUGGUACAUGUUGUAAAAUUGCUUUACAGUUCUGGCUUAAAAAUAGCCCAGAGAAAGCAGAGUUUGUGUCAGGUCAGCUGAUAUAAAGUAAAUUUUACCCAGUGAUUUCAAUCUCAGAGCAAUAGCGCCAUGGGUCAAAUGUUUCUCUCUAUUUAUUACAACAUGUAAGGUCAUAAAUGAAGACGGGAGCGGUGGGAACGAGUGUUUUAAGUCCUCUCAGUCAGACCUAUUCCAGGAGAAUUUAUCUGAAACGCAGAGCAACCCAGAGUAAACUUGUCUUAUGAUCAUGAAUUUUGGCAAAAUAUCAAGAAAUUUGGAAAGUGAUCAAAUUCCUUUCACCUUCAAGAAAGAGAAGUAUGAGGUCGACUACCUUCAUAAAGCUAGAAGAAGUUGCAAAAAAUAGCUGAAGACGUCCACAAUUUCUUGGAUUCUCCACUCAAACAACGAAAAGGAAAGCGUCCUCCGUGGUGGUGUUUCUCUGAAGAACUGGCUGGAGGAACGCCGUUUGAACUGAGACCGUUGGCGCUGCAGAUCUCUGUGGCAGAUAGAAAGAGAGAACAUGGAAGCAAGUGAGGUGUCCAAGGACUUCAUCACAAACACCGAAUUCCAAUCUUUAUUACCAGACGAAAUUUUUCCUGAGUCAUCCAAGGAAGACAAACGUUUGCUGUUGGCUGGUCACGGCUUCCGUCUUGACUGCUUCAUCUGCGAAUCCGAUGAGUCGUAACAAUCCGGGUGGAUUGAGUUCAACUUUCCUUUUACCUACCUUUGGACCAGUAGAUACUCAAAAUUGAGCCACCAGACUCCAUAGGCACAUUUUCCCCCAUGGAAAGUAUGAGAGGGUGUGUGUGAGUCCAAGAUGAACUAUGGGAAGGAAAGGAAAAUGCAUGAGGACUGUUGACUUCGAUGGAAUCCCUAUUUGAAGAGUUCAUUUGUCCGUGAUAGUGUGGUGCUGAAGAGUAGCCAAAGAUACACUGUUUCAACUAACAGUUUCUCUACAUUAGGGUGGUGGUACCAGCACUAGCACUACACGCAUCUCCUCCCAGCUCUGCCUUAAUGCCACAGGCCCCCGCCCAGUACCCAAGGCCAACAGCCCAGUGCAAAAGGACACAACACGCUAAGAGGAGACUUGUGAAAAUCACCCAAAGCCAAAGCAGAAAAUAUACCAAGUGCGGACUUUGAAUGAGACUUAUUCAGUACUCUACUCCGACAUUUCGUCAGAAAUUUAUCAAAUGACUUUUUGGAUGUUUCUCUUCUUAGUGCGCUAGUCAUCAAAAGUCGAGAAGUCAAGUUUCCAUCCUAACUCUCCCCAAACAGGUGAGGGAAGAGGCAUGAAGGAAGUCCCACAGCCACACCAGGAGACAUAAUCAGAGCCAGAUGCCAAGCUUUCUGAAUCAAGUGGACUCACAUGCCAUAAAAAUGAGUGGUUUAUUAUAGGCCUCUAAUUAACAAAAUAUGGUUUUUACAUACAGCCAACAGAGUGUACCCCACUGUGUGCCCAUAAAACACGCUUGGCAAAUUGGAAAUAACAGAAUGGCCAUUUUCACCACAUUAAGAAGACUGAGCUCGAGUUUUGUAUUACGUCUACCUUGCAUCAACCCUACAAGGAGCAAAGUCAAAUAGUCAGUCAAUAUUUAGUACAUCAUUCACUUAAUAAAAUCUUUUGAGUGUUUACUGUAAGCAAAACUAACAUACGCAGAAUCGUUGGAAGUAAAAACUUGACUCCAUCUAUAGCCCAAAUUUCAGGCAUGCCUUUAAAUUACAACUAUUUUGUUUAAAAUUUUGUCAAAUGGCCAUUUUGUAAAUUAACUUACUAAAAUGACCGUUCAGGGACAGAGGACAGACAGGAUCAUCUGGGGCCAUAUUAUUCCUCCAUUGUCCCUUUAGAGAGCCUGUUCAACUGUCACAAAACAAGGCAGUAUAAAUGUGGCUCCAGUGCUCAUCAACUCUUUCUUAAUACUGCUCUCAUUAUAUUAAUACUCAAGGACAGCGAUGAUGGUCGUGACAAGCGUCAUAAAUGAUGAAGUACUGCAUCUUCGCGAGGUAAUUGAUUGAGGCACAUUCAGGCUAUUGAGCUUUCCACAAUUGGCAGGUGUGUCUUUUAUAAAAUCCCAGAUCAAGGGCCAGCCUGGGUAGCCCAGUGGUUAAGUUCAGCACGCUCUGCUUUUUUUGGUGGCUCGGGUUCAGUUCCUGGGCGCAGACCUACACCACUCUGUUAGUGGCCAUGCUGUGCUGGCAGCCCACAUACUAAAAAGUAGAGGAAGAUUGGCACUGAUGUUCACUCAGGGUGAAUCUUCCAUAAGAAAAUUAAAAAAUAAAAAUAAUUUUAAAAACCCCAAGUCUAAAGAAAGAGAGAAAGGUCUUCACUGGCCUCCGUGGUCCACAGCUCCUCUAUAUACAGUGUGAGAAGGACAGCUCUGGGACCAGGCGAGGCUCUCUAUGGCUCUGUUCCUUAGGAGUGGGGGCAGCAGCUGCAUCACUUACACGCAUGGUGGCAUUCCACUGCCAGCAUCUGCCAGCCACUGCUGAACUGCGCUAACUGAGAAGUAAAACUCCUUGCCAGUGAGUGCACUGAUUGGCGUGCCGAGAGCCGACUCCCAGCAGUAGAGAGGCCUGCAGCCAGAGGACAAUCGAUGACGAUGAACAGGUCAAAUAAAAGCAUGUUCCUGGGGUCCAACUUGGUUUUGAAAGCUGAAGUGUCCUGAUCGUAUCCAGUUAACCACAUGUAGGGCUGCUGUAUUUUCUCUGCUCUGAAAACGCAGGUGUUACCACACCAGGAAGUUGGCUGCGUUAGGAGGUUCUCGAAAGCGCUGCUUCUGGUACUAAGGUCCCACUUAUUGGUAGCCCCACGCCCCUCGCAUCCCUUCUCACAGUCUCUCAAGCCCCAUGUGGAGUAUGGAAUUGAAUAAACAAGGUUCCAUCCAGAGAAGACCAAGUCCUCCUUAUGCGUAUUCAUUCCUGGAGAGUGCUAAGCAUCUCUUCUGAGACGGACUGAGAAUGCCCUGUAAGAAACCAUGUCUGAAAGCAGAGCACAGUCUCUGGGAGGAGCUUCCUGGUGCUGGAAACAACAAGGGUAUGAUUUCUAUUAAUCUGCGAAAAUGCACUCGUUCAAAUGAGAGAAGUGGAUGGAUAAAAAACUCAUCAGGGUAUGUUGAUGCCACACUCCUACUCCUUUAGGUAUUGUCUUGUAGAUUUCAACCAACAAUCAAGUAUCAACACUAAGCAUCAAUCAAUAAUCUAGUAAUCAUCAAGUAUCAAUUGAUCAACAUUUAUUAUCUAUUCUUUGCUAGAAAGGGAUGUAAGAUAAAAACAAGACAUUUUCCCUACCCUUUUUAUAUUUAAGGCAUACGUAAUUCGCUUAAUAAAAACUUUUAAGUAUAUACUCUAGGCAAAACUAACAUACAUAGAAUCAUUGGAAAUAAAAGCUGGACUCUAUCUGUAGCCCAAAUUUCAGACAUGCUUUUAAAUCUCCAAACAAAUUUAAACUUUUUUUUCCAUAUAGAGAACAUUCAAAUAUUUAAAGAUAAUAUACAUAUUGUCUUCUUUGUUCCAGGCUAAAAUUUUUUUAACUGUUUCUCAUAUGAUAAGAUUUUUUAAAUCAUGCCCCAUCUUAAUUAUCUCUAAAUACUCUCCCAUUUUAAGCAUCAUUCUUAAUAUGAUCUGGCUCUAUGCCUUCACUCUAUGAAACUCUACCUUCUUAUCUGUGAAAUGGCAGAGUUAGGCUAGAUUAAUAAGAUUGUAUCCUCCUAUCAUUAAAAAAACUGAUUUGAACAAACUUCCGCUCCCAUAGGUCUACGCAUCUAUGCAAUAUCCUCCGAGAGCACUGUCUUCACAUCAGACAUGUUGAAAAGAGAUUAGGAUUGCGUGGCAACCACCGUAAAGGAUGUGGUUUCUAGAGAAUUUGUCAGGAACAGAGGUCGUAUGUUGUCUAGUGUGACAGAUGGACGGAUUCAUUUACAAGGUCACCAGAUGCGUGACCUACAAAGGCUCUUAGCUCUUCGGGUCCAACUCACUCUUUUUACUGAGUGGAAAAGAGAUCCAGGUGCCAAGUCACUUGUUCACGAGCAACACUGUGUGUAGCAUACUUAUUUUCCAAAAACGUUAGCAGCACGAUUUCUGAUCCCACCUGGUCUUAGAGACCCUUGCCACACCUCCAUCAAGAAGUAGGGUCUGUCUCCCCUCUCCUGGUGACAGCUUCCAGGAAGAGAAUGCAGCAGAAGUGAUGCUGUGUGAGUUCCGAGGCUAGAUCAUAAUAGGCCACGUGGCACAUGGCUCCCUCUCUCUGUCUCAUUCAUCUCUCUGCACAUCUUUGGAGCCCUGAACCACCACAUAAGAAUUCUGGUUUUCCAGAAGCCAACAAACUAGAGAGACCACGUAGAGAGACCAAAGAGAGGCAUCGGAGAGCCCCGCUGGCCAGCCUCCAGCUGUUUGCAUCUUCCCAGCUCAGGAGUCAAAGACAGUCUACAUUCUUAACACCAUGUGGUAUUGGAUGCCCUGCUGGGGAAUGGAUGCCUAACCGAAGAGGCAAUAGAAAAAACGUUGUUUUUAAAGAGAGGACUAAUAUAAUACAGUGGAACUCCAGGAUCAGGAGUUAAGAAAAGAAAUAAAGGACGUGAGGACAUUGAAUUAGAAUAUAGAAAUGCAGGAUAUACAAUCACAGACUUGGAGAGAGAUCUUAACUAAGUCUGCCUUCUGACAUUUGGUGUGACUCCUGACACAUGCACAAAUGUCUACAGGAUGCUGGUUCUACUCUUCUCUUGGAGUGAGACAAGGUUUAUGACAAGGGACCACAUGAGUUUUUCCUAAGUGCACAAAUGAGAUCUUUCAGAGGGUGGACUGAGGAGUGGAAAGACGAAAGAGAAGGAGAGAAACAGGAGGAACAAUGCACCGGUACAAGGUGUGCAUGAGCAAGCAAAUUGCAGACAACCUCUGCCGCUCUGAUCUCUGGUGCUCAAUCUGAAAUAGGGAGAGGACUCAGAUGGAAAUUGAUCAUGGUCAUGACCCAAAUGCUUCCUGAGACCCUCACUCUCCUUGUCCUAAAAAGCAGUAUAAUUUGGUAAAAGAAGACAGUUCCUCAGUCACUGCCAUCUGUCACCUGCCUGAGCCCUUAUAUCUGCAACUUCAAGAAGACAGAGAAAUGAAUGACCUCCUUGCAGUCUAUCUGCAGCAGAGAGGCCUUUUCCAGUUCAGUCUUCUCUAUUCCUUGUAAUCACUUUAUUUUGUUAAUAAAAUAAAUCUGCCACUCAGGGUUCUCUAGAGGCUUCAUUAUUUAUACUUCCACAUCCAGAAAUAGAUCUUGAUAAAGCAAUCUUAUUUAUAACUACUGUGUACCAGACAUUAGCCAAAGCUUUACCCACCUCUCGUGGCUUCUUUCUCUAACAAGUCUUUUAAAUCAUUUUAUGGAAAGGAGUUCUCUUAAAUCCAUCCAACCAUUUACUAGUCUUAGCAAUGUACAUUUGAUGCAAGAAGGCAACCUGAAAUAAACCAGCUAGGGUCACACUGAAGAAAACCGCGAAGAUUUUCAGAAUGCAGAGAUGGCCUCAUGCAUAAAUAUUACCCCAGAUCUAAAGCAGGAGAAGAGACUGAGGUAUAGUCGGAUCCCUGAAUGUCACACUUCAUUCAGAAAGUCAUCUCCCUUGCAUAUCUCAGGUUGCUCAUCUGAGAGUAAGUUUGAAAACAAAGUUUUGCUUCUUAAAAUGAAGAACAGAACAAACCCCUGUGGGAUCUUAUUAAACAGUUGGCAGACUACUAUGCAUCUUAGUUUUCCUAAGCAUUACUGGUAUCAGUAGGCAAUUCUGUGGUUUCCCUCAGAGUGAAAAGGAAAACGAGCUCUUAAAAUGGGGUGGGGUUUCCAAAGCAACGGCAGAUGUUAACAUUAGGGGAAACUGGCUGAGGGGUAGACCAGAACCCUGCAUUAUCUUUUCAACUUCUCUCUACAUCAAAAACGCUUUCACAAUAAAAAUAGAUUUAAAAGAAAUAGGGUGGGGCUGGAAGGGAAGAAUAAACUUGGGGCUGCCGGAGGAUCAAAGAGUGGGUUUAAAACCGUGGUCUUACAUGGCAGAUCACAACCAGAGGAAGCCCCACCUGAGAUGCACAGAGGACCUGUCCCUUCGGUAACUUAGACCAACAAGCUCUAGAUUGUUCUUACUUCUAGGGAACAGAAUCCCCAACACCUCUGCUGGGCAAGGCAGGCUUUCAUCAUUUUGCAUAUGGCACCACGUGUCUCCAGCCUCUUCAAGGUCUCUUCUCUGAGGGUCAUUUCAUUGGGACAUCAGGUCCUUUCCUGAGCUCUUUCUCUCCAUUUAUACCUGGUGUUUUGACAAGCCGUUCUUUUCCUUCUACAAACACAGCUUGCGUGUGGAAUCACGUCCCAGAAGUUACAGUGAGCAAAGACACAUGGUAUCUAUGAAUCUCUUCUGUGUGUGUACGUGUGUGUGUGUUUUAAUCUGUUCCUUAAAUUGUAAGGCUUACUGGGGAGAUGAAAAAGAGGCUGGAGGAGCUAAAGGCAGUUAUAUCAGUUCUGUACAAAGAAAGUGAACGGGGCUUGGUGCAAGCCAAGAUUGAAUGUGAUUGAGUGCUUCUGUAUGAGGAAAAAAACGCAGCCCGAAAAACAGACACGGGGCCCGUGAGUCCUUCGCCAGGCUUCUUAAAAUAACUACCAUUGUGUUGGAUUAAAAG
RNAcentral lists this long non-coding RNA (7136 nucleotides) under Equus caballus (horse). RNAcentral describes it as "lncRNA (ENSECAG00000044425.1)". The record is from RNAcentral. Lineage: Eukaryota; Metazoa; Chordata; Mammalia; Perissodactyla; Equidae.